RNAcentral lists this ribosomal RNA (641 nucleotides) under Pseudogymnoascus sp. RNAcentral's name for it is "partial large subunit ribosomal RNA". It matches the Rfam family "Eukaryotic large subunit ribosomal RNA", at positions 88 to 748 of the family's 3401-position model. Lineage: Eukaryota; Fungi; Ascomycota; Leotiomycetes; Thelebolales; Thelebolaceae. The record is from RNAcentral.
GGCGAGUGAAGCGGUAACAGCUCAAAUUUGAAAUCUGGCCUCACGGUCCGAGUUGUAAUUUGUAGAGGAUGCUUCGAGCAUGGUCUGGCCUAAGUUCCUUGGAACAGGACGUCAUAGAGGGUGAGAAUCCCGUAUGCGGCCAGGUGCCUACGCUCAUGUGAAGCUCCUUCGACGAGUCGAGUUGUUUGGGAAUGCAGCUCAAAAUGGGUGGUAAAUUUCAUCUAAAGCUAAAUAUUGGCCAGAGACCGAUAGCGCACAAGUAGAGUGAUCGAAAGAUGAAAAGCACUUUGGAAAGAGAGUUAAACAGUACGUGAAAUUGUUGAAAGGGAAGCGCUUGCAACCAGACUUGCGCGCGGCCGAUCAUCCGGUGUUCUCACCGGUGCACUCGGCCGUGCUCAGGCCAGCAUCGGUUUUGGCGGCUGGAUAAAGGCCCUAGGAAUGUAGCUCCUCUCGGGGAGUGUUAUAGCCUAGGGUGCAAUGCAGCCUGCUGGGACCGAGGACCGCGCUUCGGCUAGGAUGCUGGCGUAAUGGUUGUAAGCGGCCCGUCUUGAAACACGGACCAAGGAGUCUAACAUCUAUGCGAGUGUUUGGGUGUCAAACCCAUACGCGUAAUGAAAGUGAACGGAGGUGAGAACCCUUAA